CGAAGGCAAGCGGAUCUCUUAAAGCUGUUCUCAGUUCGGACUGCAGUCUGCAACUCGACUGCACGAAGCUGGAAUCGCUAGUAAUCGCGGAUCAGCACGCCGCGGUGAAUACGUUCCCGGGCCUUGUACACACCGCCCGUCACACCAUGAGAGUUGGCAAUACCCAACGUACGUGAUCUAACCCGCAAGGGAGGAAGCGUCCUAAGGUAGGGUCAGCGAUUGGGGUGAAGUCGUAACAAGGUAAC
This 245-nucleotide ribosomal RNA is filed under the name uncultured bacterium. RNAcentral's name for it is "partial 16S ribosomal RNA". It matches the Rfam family "Bacterial small subunit ribosomal RNA", at positions 1258 to 1500 of the family's 1533-position model. The record is from RNAcentral.